RNAcentral lists this ribosomal RNA (549 nucleotides) under uncultured Glomeromycotina. RNAcentral describes it as "SSU rRNA". It matches the Rfam family "Eukaryotic small subunit ribosomal RNA", at positions 548 to 1098 of the family's 1831-position model. Lineage: Eukaryota; Fungi; Glomeromycota. The record is from RNAcentral.
UUGGAGGGCAAGUCUGGUGCCAGCAGCCGCGGUAAUUCCAGCUCCAAUAGCGUAUAUUAAAGUUGUUGCAGUUAAAAAGCUCGUAGUUGAAUUUCGGGGUUAGUAGGUUGGUCAUGCCUCUGGCAUGUACUGGUCUCACUGAUUCCUCCUUCCUGAUGAGCCGUAAUGCCAUUAAUUUGGUGUUGCGGGGAAUUUGGACUGUUACUUUGAAAAAAUUAGAGUGUUUAAAGCAAGCUAACGCUUGAAUACAUUAGCAUGGAAUAAUGAAAUAGGACGUUCGAUCCUAUUUUGUUGGUUUCUAGGAUUGACGUAAUGAUUAAUAGGGAUAGUUGGGGGCAUUAGUAUUCAAUUGUCAGAGGUGAAAUUCUUGGAUUUAUUGAAGACUAACUACUGCGAAAGCAUUUGCCAAGGAUGUUUUCAUUAAUCAAGAACGAAAGUUAGGGGAUCGAAGACGAUCAGAUACCGUCGUAGUCUUAACCAUAAACUAUGCCGACUAGGGAUCGGAUGAUGUUAAUUUUUUAAUGACUCAUUCGGCGCCUUACGGGAAAC